UACAGAGGUGGCAAGCGUUGUUCGGAAUUACUGGGCGUAAAGGGCGCGUAGGCGGUCGAUUAAGUCCCGUGUGAAAUCCCUCGGCUCAACUGAGGAACUGCACGGGAAACUGGCUGACUUGAGUUCGGGAGAGGGAAGCGGAAUUCCGGGUGUAGCGGUGAAAUGCGUAGAUAUCCGAAGGAACAUCAGUGGCGAAAGCGGCUUCCUGGACCAGAACUGACGAUCAGGCACGAAAGCGUGGGGAGCAAACAGG
Molecule: ribosomal RNA, 253 nt
Filed under: uncultured bacterium
Lineage: Bacteria
Description: partial 16S ribosomal RNA
Rfam family: Bacterial small subunit ribosomal RNA
Source: RNAcentral